This 221-nucleotide ribosomal RNA is filed under the name uncultured bacterium. RNAcentral describes it as "partial 16S ribosomal RNA". It matches the Rfam family "Bacterial small subunit ribosomal RNA", at positions 129 to 334 of the family's 1533-position model. The record is from RNAcentral.
CCCUUCAGAGGGGGACAACAGUUGGAAACGACUGCUAAUACCGCAUACGAUCUAAUCUCGGCAUCGAGGAUAGAUGAAAGGUGGCCUCUACAUGUAAGCUAUCACUGAAGGAGGGGAUUGCGUCUGAUUAGCUAGUUGGAGGGGUAACGGCCCACCAAGGCGAUGAUCAGUAGCCGGUCUGAGAGGAUGAACGGCCACAUUGGGAUUGAGACACGGCCCAG